UUGGAGGAAGGAGUCCGUGAAGGACGGUUAUCUAAAGAUGAAGGCUCUUCUAGCAAGCGGUAUGGAGCAUUUGCUAAAAAUAAAGAUGGGGAGGCAUAUGCUGUGCAGUCCCAUGUUAAACCAAGAAGACCCUCUGCCAAGAGGAAGCCUGUGCGUCAUGCCGACAAUCAGCACCAGGUGGCUCACAUAGCACCUGUCUUCCGUGACAAUCAGC
Molecule: long non-coding RNA, 214 nt
Filed under: Lathyrus oleraceus (garden pea)
Lineage: Eukaryota; Viridiplantae; Streptophyta; Magnoliopsida; Fabales; Fabaceae
Description: Pisum sativum (pea) long non-coding RNA (PSAT_LNC020449)
Source: RNAcentral